Molecule: ribosomal RNA, 601 nt
Filed under: uncultured archaeon
Lineage: Archaea
Description: bacterial SSU rRNA
Rfam family: Archaeal small subunit ribosomal RNA
Source: RNAcentral
UCCCUAUGGGGUGCAGCAGUCGCGAAAACUCCGCAAUGCGCGAAAGCGUGACGGGGCUACCCCGAGUGCCGUCCGCUGAGGAUGGCUUUUCCUUGGUGUAACUAGCCGGGGGAAUAAGGAGGGGGCAAGACUGGUGUCAGCCGCCGCGGUAAUACCAGCUCUCCGAGUGGUAGGGAUGAUUAUUGGGCUUAAAGCGUCCGUAGCCGGCUUAGCAAGUCUCCUGUUAAACUCAGCGACCUAAUCGUUGACCCGCGGGAGAUACUACUAGGCUAGGAGGCGGGAGAGGUCGACGGUACUUCUGGGGUAGGGGUGAAAUCCUAUAAUCCCGGGAGGACCACCAGUGGCGAAGGCUGUCGACUAGAACGCGCUCGACGGUGAGAAACGAAAGCUGGGGGAGCGAACCGGAUUAGAUACCCGGGUAGUCCCAGCUGUAAACGAUGCAGGCUAGGUGUUUGGGCGGCCACGAGCCGCCCUAGUGCCGCAGGGAAGCUGUUAAGCCUGCCGCCUGGGGAGUACGGCCGCAAGGCUGAAACUUAAAGGAAUUGGCGGGGGAGCACCACAAGGGGUGAAGCUUGCGGUUUAAUUGGAUUCAACGCCGGAA